CUGGUUAAAGUUUCACAUGCAAGUUACUAUCUCCAAAACUAAUGCAGAUAUUGAAUUGAAACUUUACAUGUGUCUUCAGGGUUAUAAAACUAGUUUAUAGCACCAAGUCCCAUAACUCUGACCUUCAUUUUGGCCAAAUUAUGCCCCCUUUUGGACUUAGAAAAUUCUGGUUAAAGUUUUGCGUACAAGUACAUACAGCUAUUACUAAAAGGCAUAUAGAUUUGAAACUUAUUUCUUCUUUUUCUAGAUCAGUUACCUACCUCACUGGGUCAAGUCCCAUAACUCUGACAUGUAUUUUGAGCAAAUUAUGCCCCCUUUUGGACUUAGAAAAUCCUGGUUAAAGUUUAACAUGCAAGUUACUAUCUCCAAAACUAAUACAGAUAUUAAAUUGAAACUUCACAUGUGUCUUCGGGGUUAUAAAACUAGUUGAUAGAAUCAAGUCCCAUAACUCUGACAUGUAUUUUUGGCAAAUUAUGCCCCCUUUUGGACUUAGAAAAUUCUGGUUAAAGUUUUGCGUGCAAGUACAUACAGCUAUUACCAAAAGGCAUAUAGCUUUGAAUCUUAUUAAUUCCUUUUCUAGGUCAAUUACCAGCCUCACUAGGUCAAGUUCCAUAACUCUUAACAUGUAUUUUGAACAAAUUAUGCCCCCUUUUGGACUUAGAAAAUUCUGGUUAAAGUUUACAUGCAAGUUACUAUCUCCAAAACUAAUGCAGAUAUUGAAUUGAAACCUAACAUGUUUCUUCAGGGUUAUAAAACUAGUUGAUAGCAUCAAGUCCCAUAACUCUGAUAUGUAUUUUGGUCAAAUUAUGUCCCAUUUCGAACUUAAAACUCUUUUGAUAUUUAACAUUUUGGGUAAUAAUUUCCUGCUUCUGUGACAAUAUUUCGAAUAGUCGAGCUUGGCUGUCUUACGGACAGCUCUUGUUAUAUUUAGAUUAAUAAAUGUAAAAAGUCUGUAUUAAAUGUACAGGUCAUCUUUUGUACAAAAAUUAAGGAAAAAAUGUUUGUAUUAUUUUCAUUUUCAGUUUUGGUAGAGAGAAGUUUGAGUAUGUACAGUUGUUUGACCUGUCUUACCCUGUGGUAGUCCCAGAUGUUACCAUUAUGAAUAAAUGCAGGAGAACUUGAAGACAAUGGUUAGUGCAGAAGGGACAUAAAAGAAAUGAUGAAAGUAACAGAUAUUAAGAAGUGCUACGUGAAAUGGACUUUACCCCAACUGUGCUGCAUGAUGUAUAUUCAAGUGUGAGACAGUCAUGCACCAGCUAUAAACUGAGAUAGACCCACACAUGAAAUGUGUUGCCUUUUCUAUGUAUUAUCAUCUGUACAGAAUGUGUUUAUGACAAGACUGUAUACAUAUAUAUCGUUAAAUCAUUUUUUAGCUUGACUAUUCGAAGAAUAGGGGAGCUAUCCUACUCGCCCGGCAUCGGCGUGAGCGUGAGCGUCCUACAAAUGUUAAAGUUUGCGUACCACCCCAAAUAUUUUUAAAGUCCAUUGAGAUAUUGCUUUCAUAUUUUGCAUACUUGUUUACCAUCAUGACCCCAGUCUGUAAAAAGGAGGAGACAACUCUAUCAAGCAUUUUGACUGAAUUAUGGCCCCUUUUCAACUUAGAAUAAAUGUUAAAGUUUGCGUACCACCCCAAAUAUUUUCAAAGUCCAUUGAGAUAUUGCUUUCAUAUUUUGCAUACUUGUUUACCAUCAUGACCCCAGUCUGUAAAAAGGAGGAGGCAACUCUAUCAAACAUUUUGACUGAAUCAUGGCCCCUUUUCGACUGAGAAUGAAUGUUAAAGUUUGCGUACCACCCCAAAUAUUUUAUAAGUCCAUUGAGAUAUUGCUUUCAUAUUUUGCAUACUUGUUUACCAUCAUGACCCCAGUCU
Long non-coding RNA from Mercenaria mercenaria, 1867 nucleotides. RefSeq lists it as uncharacterized. The record is from RefSeq and is a predicted model, not a curated record. The transcript has 3 exons. Lineage: Eukaryota; Metazoa; Mollusca; Bivalvia; Venerida; Veneridae.